This 240-nucleotide unclassified non-coding RNA is filed under the name soil metagenome. Its description in RNAcentral is "partial contains 5.8S ribosomal RNA, internal transcribed spacer 2, and large subunit ribosomal RNA". The record is from RNAcentral.
AAGACUAUAGACCUGCGGAGUACCUGCGGAGGGAUCAUUAUUGAAUAAACUUAGUGGGUUGUCGCUGGCUCCUUGGAGCAUGUGCACGCCUGCUGACUUUAUCCAUCCACCUGUGCACUUUCUGUAGUCUUAGAAAAUGAAAGGCAACUAGACUCUCGAAUUGACUUUUUGCAAUUCGGAUGUGAGGAAUGCUAUCAUAGCUCUCCUCAAAAGGUUGUAUUCACUCUCACAGACUAUGAU